MicroRNA precursor from Cercocebus atys (sooty mangabey), 68 nucleotides. The record is from Ensembl. Lineage: Eukaryota; Metazoa; Chordata; Mammalia; Primates; Cercopithecidae.
GGGCGCAGGGGGACUGGGGGUGAGCAGGCACAGACCCCAGCUCGUGCUCACUCUCGGUCUCUCCCUAG